GUGGCCUGGCGAGGCCGGCGCGCGCCCCGGGGCCGAGGAAUCCGCCUGCCCGCCCAGGCGUCGGCCACGAGAGAGCGGGAGCUUCGCUGGUCCCCAUUUCAGCAUCCCGCAGACCACGUGGCUGUUGUGGGCGCUCCAGCCUUUGUCGCACACUUGCGACCAGCCGUCAGGAAGCCUGACUUCCACCAGCCCCUCCGUCACGGGCAGGGGUCGUCUGCCCCACCCAACGGCGGGUCGAAUUCGCACCUCCUCCACUUGCAGAGUCAGCGCUUUGGGACCAAGGUAGUCUGGCGCACGGAUGCCGAACCUUAUCCGGGCUAGUAAUGGAGGUGGAGGAAGACCUGGGCCGUGCUCUACCCGGCCAGUCCCCACGGCGUAGCGCGGCUCGAGUUCUUUGACCAUAAGGGGUCGAGCUCUGGGGGUGGCCGAGGGAGCUCGCGCCGCCUGGACUGCAAAGUGAUCCGUCUGGCUGAGUGUGUGAGUGUGGCCCCCGUCAUCGUGGAGACCCCCCCUGAGCCCGGCGCCACUGCCUUCCGCCUGGACACUGCUCAGCGCUCGCAC
This 561-nucleotide small RNA is filed under the name Pan troglodytes (chimpanzee). RNAcentral describes it as "processed transcript". The record is from RNAcentral. Lineage: Eukaryota; Metazoa; Chordata; Mammalia; Primates; Hominidae.